CUGGAGCACUCGGGGCGGGUGGGCAGGACGAGCGGAGGCCGUGGGUUGGAGCGUGGGAGACCUUCAGGAGCUCCUACGUCCUCUAAGAGGCUUGGCGUAGUCCGGCGAGGUCUCGGGGGUGCGCGGACACCAGCCUCCUCAGCCUCAGGUCUGGAAUCCGGCGGGAUGGGGGACUGGGCGACGGCAUUGUGAGGGCUCGGCGGAGGCGCCAGGGGGCGCUAGCUGGCUCCUCGCAGCCGAUCCAGGCCGCGGCGGUUCCACGAGGUCCGGCGCCCCGCGCCCCGCGACCCGCGGUCCUGGCCAAGCUGUCAGGGAAGGUGCGGCGGAGACCACCCGUUCCUCUUCUCCCUCCCUCCCUCCCUCUUCGGCCGGCGGGGAGUGGCGCCCACCAUCCAGCCUGCGCCUCUGCGCCCUGCACCCCCAUCCGCACCCUUUCUCCGGCCAAGUUUCCCUGCGCCCCCGUUCCUGGUACCCGCGCCGGCCUCCGUGGCUCCUCCACGGCUCUCUCCUGGAAUUAAGCUUCCGGGAAGGGUUUGGCCGAUUCUCAGACUGGAGAAGGCGGGCCCCAGCAGAGGCCCGAGUGAUUUCGAGAAGCCCCGUGGCUGGGCGUCGAUGUUCGCCCUGGACUCAGUGACCCAGUAACCCCACAGCAGGAGGAACAGGCUCGCUACGGGGUUAGGGAACCUUCAGGCGCCGAGAAAAAGAUACGCAACGGCAAGCCAUACUUUUCUGGACACUGGCUCUGGGGGCGCUGCUCCUCUGAACCUCGACUUUCCCCAGGCACGCACCUCAGAGCUGAGCCCCCUGGGGACUCCCAAGCUCUGCGUCUCCCUGAGUCCUGAGGCAGGAGAGGAGGAGGCUUCAGGGGCGGAUGAGCCUCCUCCCCCUAGCCGUACCCUGUCACCCUGGGAGCCUGGAACGUGCAUCUGAGGCCAGAGCGACUCUUGCCUCUUUUCCAGUGAGCUGGGGGAAAGUCACCCUCCUGAGGAGACCAGCCUUCGAGGGCGUCAUGAGCGCGUGUUUGGGGCAGGAACCGGCCGGCCCUCCCUGCUGUGCUACCCCCUGAAACUGGAUGGCCCCCCUUUCAUUCCCCCAGCUCAGGAGAGGCUUGACCCUACUGGAAGCUCGAGGGCGCAGGCCUGGAGGAAAGAGAGGAACAGAAAUCCGGGCUGUGGGGGAGCAGCUGGAAAGCUGGAGAAGCUGGAGGAAGGAUGUUGCUGGCUGUUCUUCCCCCACCCCCAUUCCUGAGUUUGGGGCUGCAGCCCCCACAAAAUCUGCCCUGCAGGUCCAAGUAGUACCCAGCAGCCAAGCAGUAGAAUUUGGGCAGCACCCCGGAAGAGGCUUGCAGGAUAGGACACAGCCCACAAGAAUCAUCCGAGGCUGCACCGUGACCAGCCCCUCAAGACAGAGCGAGACCCAAAUAACCCCCGCGGGCGGACCCGCAGCGUUCUGUGACUCCACCGCGGAGUCCAAAAGGCAGCUGAGGGUGGGAGCGGAGGGGAAGGGAGGGGGGCCACAGGCGCUCGGGCGAGGGAGG
Molecule: long non-coding RNA, 1537 nt
Filed under: Homo sapiens (human)
Lineage: Eukaryota; Metazoa; Chordata; Mammalia; Primates; Hominidae
Description: non-protein coding lnc-FANCI-4:1
Source: RNAcentral